CUGUAUCAGUUUUUGAAUAACUGUCAAGAACUGCAGUAUUCAACAGUGUAUCGCUUGAAACAGGCAUCUUGUCUUGGUGUCUGCCAUACCCAGAUCUUCUCAACU
This is a long non-coding RNA of Haliotis rubra (blacklip abalone), 105 nucleotides long. RefSeq lists it as uncharacterized. The record is from RefSeq and is a predicted model, not a curated record. The transcript has 3 exons. NCBI's taxonomy places the organism in Eukaryota, Metazoa, Mollusca, Gastropoda, Lepetellida, Haliotidae.